This 465-nucleotide ribosomal RNA is filed under the name uncultured bacterium. RNAcentral describes it as "partial 16S ribosomal RNA". It matches the Rfam family "Bacterial small subunit ribosomal RNA", at positions 28 to 507 of the family's 1533-position model. The record is from RNAcentral.
GAUGAACGCUGGCGGCGUGCUUAACACAUGCAAGUCGAACGGAAAGGCUCCUGCUUGCAGGGGUACUCGAGUGGCGAACGGGUGAGUAACACGUGGGUGAUCUGCCCUGCACUUCGGGAUAAGCCUGGGAAACUGGGUCUAAUACCGGAUAGGACGAUGGCUUGGAUGCCAUUGUGGAAAGUUUUUCGGUGUGGGAUGAGCUCGCGGCCUAUCAGCUUGUUGGUGGGGUAAUGGCCUACCAAGGCGUCGACGGGUAGCCGGCCUGAGAGGGUGUACGGCCACAUUGGGACUGAGAUACGGCCCAGACUCCUACGGGAGGCAGCAGUGGGGAAUAUUGCACAAUGGGCGCAAGCCUGAUGCAGCGACGCCGCGUGGGGGAUGACGGCCUUCGGGUUGUAAACUCCUUUCGCUAGGGACGAAGCGCAAGUGACGGUACCUGGAGAAGAAGCACCGGCUAACUACGUG